AGAGAUAAAGUGAGAGAGAAAGGGGGGCAAUCUUGGCAUCCUUCAUCCAUCUCCUGUCAUAUAUAUACUGUGUAUAUUGACUAUAUUCAUCUAUCCCAUUACGAAAGAGUUCUGAGUCUUCUUCUUCUCCUCCUUCACUCGCUUAUCUUUCUUCUCCUUCACAUCUUUCAGGAAGAGGGAUAGAUCGCCAUGUAUGUGAUAAUAAUAUCAGUGCCUAUGAUCAUUUUGCUGCUCAUCAUCGCCAUUGCUUGUUACCUAUUUGGAAGGUCAAGAGGCUGAGGUUGAUCGCCAAUCGUACGAUCAGGAGGAAGACAGACAGACAGACUUUGAUUGCGAGUUUUGCCGAUUAGAUUUUGGGGGAAGAGAUCGAACUGUGAAGAGGGAAGUCUUAGUUUUAUUGAGUCAAAAGCAGCAGAAUGGGCUAUGUUAUUGUAAUAUCGUUACCAGUUAUAAUAUUGUUCAUUGUCACUGCCGUGGUUUGCUACCUAAUCGGACGGAAACGUAGUCGUGAUAUAGCUGCAGGCAGAUAUCCUCAGCAUUACGGCCCACCAGCACCGCCGCCCGCCGUCAUGUCUCCGCCGCCACCGGGAAAAGGACCUUACUAAUGUGUUACUGGCUGCCUUGCUUGCUUCUUUGUCCAUGAUUAAUAAUUUUGGUACUAUGUGAAUGGUGUGCUU
Long non-coding RNA from Ipomoea nil (Japanese morning glory), 677 nucleotides. RefSeq lists it as uncharacterized. The transcript is spliced from 4 exons. The record is from RefSeq and is a predicted model, not a curated record. Lineage: Eukaryota; Viridiplantae; Streptophyta; Magnoliopsida; Solanales; Convolvulaceae.